Molecule: unclassified non-coding RNA, 133 nt
Organism: Cavia aperea (Brazilian guinea pig)
Lineage: Eukaryota; Metazoa; Chordata; Mammalia; Rodentia; Caviidae
Source: Ensembl
GAAGUCCUCUGUUUAUUCGCAGGCUAGGUGUGGUGCAGGCAGCCGCAAUGCGAGCUUCCAUACACUGCUACCCUGCUAAGAUCUCCACCCUGGCCCGGAGGAGCCAUCCUCGCUAGGGGUGUAAAGGUAACUC